AUUGAACGCUGGCGGCAGGCCUAACACAUGCAAGUCGAGCGGAUGACAGGAGCUUGCUCCUGAAUUCAGCGGCGGACGGGUGAGUAAUGCCUAGGAAUCUGCCUGGUAGUGGGGGACAACGUUUCGAAAGGAACGCUAAUACCGCAUACGUCCUACGGGAGAAAGCAGGGGACCUUCGGGCCUUGCGCUAUCAGAUGAGCCUAGGUCGGAUUAGCUAGUUGGUGAGGUAAUGGCUCACCAAGGCGACGAUCCGUAACUGGUCUGAGAGGAUGAUCAGUCACACUGGAACUGAGACACGGUCCAGACUCCUACGGGAGGCAGCAGUGGGGAAUAUUGGACAAUGGGCGAAAGCCUGAUCCAGCCAUGCCGCGUGUGUGAAGAAGGUCUUCGGAUUGUAAAGCACUUUAAGUUGGGAGGAAGGGCAKUAAMYUAAUACKUURSUGUUUUGACGUUACCGACAGAAUAAGCACCGGCUAACUCUGUGC
Molecule: ribosomal RNA, 485 nt
Filed under: uncultured Pseudomonas sp.
Lineage: Bacteria; Pseudomonadati; Pseudomonadota; Gammaproteobacteria; Pseudomonadales; Pseudomonadaceae
Description: bacterial SSU rRNA
Source: RNAcentral